This 2687-nucleotide long non-coding RNA is filed under the name Macaca fascicularis (crab-eating macaque). RNAcentral's name for it is "lncRNA (ENSMFAG00000048419.1)". The record is from RNAcentral. Lineage: Eukaryota; Metazoa; Chordata; Mammalia; Primates; Cercopithecidae.
CUAAAUAAACACCAUUUCCAUGGUUUUAAUAAGCAAAAUAGGAAACCAUUUUAAUAACCAAAAAACAGAAACCAGUCUGAAUAAAACUACAAUAGACUAGGUUUUAAUAUUUUCAUAUCAUAAGCAGGGUUUGAAAUUGAUCCCUUAUUUUACAUGAAAUAAAAACAAUUUCUGUUGCGGCAGGUUUGAUUUCAACACAGUUGAAUCUGUAAAAACCAAAGCUCGUUUCUGAUGCAGGACAAAUAUCCACAAUAUUUAAAACUGCAAGCACCAUGCGGUUCAUACAAUCUUGUUAUUACUGUUAAUUUAUCAACUAAUACAAACUCAAAAAUGCAUCUGGCCAGCAGCGCCAGCAAUUUCAAAUGGGAACUUAAAAAUACACUUUUAUUUUGGUAUUUUUGUCAGUGCAACUUAAAUCCUUUUACUGACCUGCAGAAAAAAAAAAAAGUAAUAAUAAAGAAAAACACCCAUGUCUUCCCUAUAACUACUAUACAACUGAAGAAUUGAAGGGGGAGGGGGAGACACCACCAAGAACUCUUCCUACUAUUUCAAAAGCAGGGAAAGAAACACAAUGCACUGGUCUAAAGAACACAUUUGAAAGUUGCAAAAUUACUUGCCAAUGUUUGGGUUUCUGGUACAUUCUGAGCGUGGCAGUUGGUUCAGUGCAAUGUCUGCUUACCAGUGCACUGCCAGGGUCAGGGAUGGCUAAGCCUCUCACCCUAAGAGGCUGUGGUUCCUACAAUUAGUGAAGGCCCAGAGGGUUCAGAAGGGACCUCAGGAUGAUUCUGGUUACAAUAAAAAGCAGAGGGGAGGAUCUGUUUUCCUUUCCUUUCCUUUCCUUUCUUAUUAAGGGUGUCAUUUUGACCAUAAAGACAAGGCUGGAGUCCAGUACACUCUUUUGGGGUGCGGAGCUUGGCAGCUUCCCUGCCCUGCCCUGCCCUGCCCUUGUACUCGGGAGCUGGGACCUCUCGGUUCUCUCUCUCAACACCAGCAAGGUCGAAAACUAAAGCAGGAGAGAAAAAAGAGGACCGAAUGGGGAUAAGGGAAGGAAAGAAAACACGCAACUUCCAAGUGUGCCCCAAGACAAAGUUGUUUUCUGAUGUAAAAUGCCUGGAACUUUUUCUUUUUUUUUUCUUUUUAACUUACAAACAAAAAUACCAUAAUCAUAAACCCAAACAAAGACCCUCAGCUUGCUGCCAUGUUCUCUAUGCGGUUUGGCGGGGCGGGUAUUUACAAGCCUACAGCUGGGACUGAAACCCCGCACGCAGCACCGGAGUUUCCAAACUGCGAUCCCUUCUCACCCAAAGAAACAAGGGGAGUAUGAUCCAUGAUCAACAACAUGCUAAAGUUAAACAAGAAAAUGGUACAAAAUAGAAAUUAUUACCAUACAUGUCCAGCAUGCAGGAUUAAUAUUUUUAAUGCAGAUUUUUGUAUUUUUCUAUAUAAUCGAGCAGGCAAUAAAACUGAUGAGAUUUGGGCGCCGAACGUCCUAACUGAGGCCCGUGUCUCAGGGCUGAGAGCCAGUGUUCUCCGAACUCUGACAGACAGGUCCGUCUGUCCUUCCUUCUUUCGCUCAGCCUCGCCUCUCGCCUGCCGGGACGCCAGAGUCCCUCUCCUCUCCUCGUUGCUCUCUUCCUGGCGCGGACUACGCUCCGGGCCGCAAAGCAGCGGUCCCGGCUUAACGCGCAAAGUUCAGAAAGCCAGGAGUCUCCAGAUGGCCUUGGUGACUUCUCGGGACUACGCCUCGCCGCCCUCCAGCCUGAAGAGAAGUUACUCCGGGACCUCCCACCCUCUCGUCUCUCUCUCUCAGGCUCUGCUCGAGUCUAGGAGGCGGCGCUGGCGUGCGCUACUCUCGCCUUAGCCAAGGUCCCCUGCCCGCCAGCGCGCCAGCCCGUCGCCCGCGGCCCGCGCCGCCUUCCUCCCUCUCGCUCAAGUCAAACAGGUCAAGGUUGGGGCCGCGGCAGGGACAGGGUCCGGGGUAGUGUGGGACUGGGGACAUGGACAGGGAGUCCGGGCUGGGGCAAGGGCGGGGGCCGGGACCGGCCACGACUCACAGAAAGAACUCGGGAGAGGAGGGGCUGUCGCUGGUGGAGCCCGCCUCCCUGAAGCCGGAGUUGGCGAGUUUCUCGCACUUGACCUUGUAGGCGUCUCUCUCGCGGGCCAGCCGGGACACCUCCUGCUUAAGCUGCUCCACCUGCUGAAUGAGCUGCGUCUUCUCAUUCUCCAGGUGGUGCUUCUGCUGGACGCGUUUAUACCUGCAAGACUGGGCGUAGCCCCGGUUCUUCAGGGUCCGCCGCUUCUGCUUCAGGCGGAUCACCUCGUCCUUGGUGAAGCCCCGCAGGUGGCGGUUCAGCUCGCGCACGGACAUGGACACGAGCUGAUCGUCGGAGAAGCGGUCCUCCACGCUGCCGUUACCGCCCGCCGCCGUCGCCGAGGCCGUCGCGUGCGGCCCGGGCCCAGGGUGGCUAGUGGGCAGCUGUUGCGCCGGGCUAGCGGCGCUGGACGGCGGCGGUGACGCUUGGUGAUGAUGGUGAUGGUGCGGGUGAGCGUGCGGACCCAGCUCGUCGUGGGCCACGCCAGCGCCCGGGUACGCGUGGUGCGGGUGAGGGUGGUGGUGAUGGUGGUGGUGGUGAGCGCCGCGAAAGCUGUCGAAGCUUUGCAGCGGCUGUGGCACUGGGUGCGAGCCG